UACGAAGGGGGCUAGCGUUGCUCGGAAUUACUGGGCGUAAAGCGCACGUAGGCGGCUUUCUAAGUCGGAGGUGAAAUCCUGGGGCUCAACUCCAGAACUGCCUUCGAUACUGGAGAGCUUGAGUCCGGGAGAGGUGAGUGGAACUGCGAGUGUAGAGGUGAAAUUCGUAGAUAUUCGCAAGAACACCAGUGGCGAAGGCGGCUCACUGGCCCGGUACUGACGCUGAGGUGCGAAAGCGUGGGGAGCAAACAGG
RNAcentral lists this ribosomal RNA (253 nucleotides) under uncultured bacterium. RNAcentral's name for it is "partial 16S ribosomal RNA". It matches the Rfam family "Bacterial small subunit ribosomal RNA", at positions 524 to 776 of the family's 1533-position model. The record is from RNAcentral.